UGGCUGAUAGCGAGUGGCUUCUAAUCAGUGCAACACAGUAUGGGGAGAGACAGUCAAAGUUUGGGUGAUCAAUCAAAGAACAGAAAAGCACGUUGUGAGUAGGAGGCAUCUGGAACAAAGUAUCUACGGUGCAGAAUGUUGAUGUUGAAAAAUAAUCAAGCUACAGGGAGCCCGUAGCCGGGGAGCCCUGGGCGAGCUGGUAGCUGCCUGACGCCAUAUCCUGCAAGUGUGCUGAGUAUCUUCAUCAUGUCGCGUGCCAUCGAGUCUGCUAUACUGGCCUGAAUGUAUGUGGCGGCACGCGCAUGAGCAGCGAUGCGAGCACUGGGUCACCCCAUGGAACAACCAUGUGCACCCACCAUUCAGAUGAUGAAGAGCAUGAGAAAGCCCCAGGACAUGUGGCGCCGCAGGGACAGGGGCAUGCACGGUUGGCGUGCGGCACUAGUGACCAUACCAUUUGCACUACUGGAAACUCGAAUACUUCUGUGGAUGUUGAAUUUUUCUAUGCGUUUUUUUCCAUACGCACACAGAAGAAUUCAAGUUUCAGUGCACAUGUACUCUUUGUUUCUGUUUUGCAUCAGCUAGGCUAGGGGAGGCGUGUGGCCGAAGGCAUGUUUGGUCGACGAUGCAGCCCGGGUUGUUCGGUUCUGUGUGCCCAUGCCAAACAUCGGUACACACAGCGCACAUCAUGGAAAAGAGGCGAGUUUGUAACAAACUAGAUAAUUAGAAGGAAAUGCUUGCUACUAGCACGAGGGUUCAGAUGCAUCCUAUUACAUAGGCUGUGUCUAUUUUGCAGGUUGAUGUUAUUCGUAUUAAGAAGCUCAGUGGAUGGGCAUGAACGCACUUUAUAUACUCUAUGUUCUAGCUAGCUGCUUCCUGCCUGUGAGCUGUUAUAUAUGUGUGGCCGCUAGCGAGUAGUGAGUGGCUUCAAACCACUGCAAGUUUGAGAGAUCAAAGAACAAAUUGAAGUUCACUAUGAGUAGGAGGCAUCUGGAACAACAUUGCCUAUGGUGCAGAAAAUUGCUUUGCAUAUCUGCAGCAUGUUGGUACGUAGAAGCCUUCCCACUAGUUGGCUGACACUCUAAGCCCAGUUGUGGCAGCGCAGAAAUCUUCUCUUCCACACUGGCUUAUUCCAUCUUUUUAGUUGGGUGCAUUCACAUAGGAUGCUGAAGGUCCCCUGUGCUCUUUCCUUUCUUCUUGCGCUACUGCCCUUUGCAUGGGAGGCUUGCGCUUGUCAAAGGAUCAACAUGUCCUGUGGACGCUCUCAUCAUUGCUUUGGCUUCUUCCAUAGGAGUGGAGGAGUAUAUAUAUGGCGGCGCAGGCUGUCAAUGUAAUCCACCUCUGAGGAUGUAUUUGCGAC
Molecule: long non-coding RNA, 1357 nt
Filed under: Sorghum bicolor (sorghum)
Lineage: Eukaryota; Viridiplantae; Streptophyta; Magnoliopsida; Poales; Poaceae
Description: long non-coding RNA (SBIC_LNC015379)
Source: RNAcentral